GACGAACGCUGGCGGCGUGCUUAACACAUGCAAGUCGAACGCUGAAGCUCAGCUUGCUGGGUGGAUGAGUGGCGAACGGGUGAGUAACACGUGAGUAACCUGCCCUCUUCUUUGGGAUAACGCCCGGAAACGGGUGCUAAUACUGGAUAUUCACUGAUUCUCGCAUGGGGGUUGGUGGAAAGGUUUUUUCUGGUGGGGGAUGGGCUCGCGGCCUAUCAGCUUGUUGGUGGGGUGAUGGCCUACCAAGGCUUUGACGGGUAGCCGGCCUGAGAGGGUGACCGGUCACAUUGGGACUGAGAUACGGCCCAGACUCCUACGGGAGGCAGCAGUGGGGAAUAUUGCACAAUGGGCGAAAGCCUGAUGCAGCGACGCCGCGUGAGGGAUGGAGGCCUUCGGGUUGUAAACCUCUUUCGCUCAUGGUCAAGCCGCAGCUUUGGAUUGUGGUGAGGGUAGUGGGUAAAGAAGCGCCGGCUAACUACGUG
Molecule: ribosomal RNA, 482 nt
Filed under: uncultured bacterium
Lineage: Bacteria
Description: partial 16S ribosomal RNA
Rfam family: Bacterial small subunit ribosomal RNA
Source: RNAcentral